This 638-nucleotide ribosomal RNA is filed under the name uncultured bacterium. Its description in RNAcentral is "bacterial SSU rRNA". It matches the Rfam family "Bacterial small subunit ribosomal RNA", at positions 232 to 885 of the family's 1533-position model. The record is from RNAcentral.
CGCGGCCUAUCAGCUUGUUGGUGGGGUAACGGCCCACCAAGGCAUCGACGGGUAGCUGGUCUGAGAGGACGAUCAGCCACACUGGGACUGAGACACGGCCCAGACUCCUACGGGAGGCAGCAGCGGGGAAUAUUGCGCAAUGGACGAAAGCCUGACGCAGCAACGCCGCGUGAGGGAUGAAGGCUUUCGGGUUGUAAACCUCUUUCAGCAGGGACGAUUGUGACGGUACCUGCAGAAGAAGCCCCGGCCAACUACGUGCCAGCAGCCGCGGUAACACGUAGGGGGCGAGCGUUGUCCGGAUUUAUUGGGCGUAAAGAGCUCGUAGGUGGUUCGGUAAGUCAGGUGUGAAAACUCUGGGCUCAACUCAGAGACGCCACCUGAUACUGCCGUGACUGGAGUCUGGUAGGGGAGUGUGGAAUUUCCGGUGUAGCGGUAAAUGCGCGGAUAUCGGAAGGAACACCAGUGGCGAAGGCGGCACUCUGGGCCAGUACUGACGCUGAGGAGCGAAAGCAUGGGUAGCAAACAGGAUUAGAUACCCUGGUAGUCCAUGCCGUAAACGUUGGGCACUAGGUGUGGGGAGGAAUCAACCCUCUCCGUGCCGUAGCUAACGCAUUAAGUGCCCCGCCUGGGGAGUACGG